This 441-nucleotide ribosomal RNA is filed under the name uncultured bacterium. Its description in RNAcentral is "partial 16S ribosomal RNA". It matches the Rfam family "Bacterial small subunit ribosomal RNA", at positions 338 to 795 of the family's 1533-position model. The record is from RNAcentral.
CCUACGGGAGGCAGCAGUGGGGAAUAUUGCACAAUGGGGGAAACCCUGAUGCAGCGACGCCGCGUGAGUGAAGAAGUAUUUCGGUAUGUAAAGCUCUAUCAGCAGGGAAGAAGAAAGACGGUACCUGACAAAGAAGCCCCGGCUAACUACGUGCCAGCAGCCGCGGUAAUACGUAGGGGGCAAGCGUUAUCCGGAUUUAUGGGGGGUAAAGGGAGCGUAGAGGGCAGGGCAAGUCUGAAGUGAAAGCCCAGGGCCCAACCCUGGGACUGCUUUGGAAACUGUGGGGCUGGAGUGCUGGAGAGGUAAGUGGAAUUCCUAGUGUAGCGGUGAAAUGCGUAGAUAUUAGGAGGAACACCAGUGGCGAAGGCGGCUUACUGGACUGUAACUGACGUUGAGGCUCGAAAGCGUGGGGAGCAAACAGGAUUAGAUACCCGGGUAGUC